GUUUUAUUUUUGUUCUGUUUACUUAGUUUUGGAUUUCAUUUUGAUUUUUAAUGAUUUUAUGUUAAAAUAUAUUUAAGAAGAUAUUAUAAGCAUAUUAUUGAACAUAUAUAAAUAAUUUGAAAAAAAUACAUGCAUUGUGCAGUGAGUCUUCGUUUAACCUUGGAAUCGGAUUCCUGAAAAUUACUACUAUAACUGAAAUCAGAAACCUAUAGACCAGUGGUUCUCAACCUUCCUAAUGGCACGACCCUUUAAUACAGUUCUUCAUGUUGUGGUGACCCCAACCAUAAAUUAUUUUCAUUGCUACUUCAUAACUGUAA
This 317-nucleotide long non-coding RNA is filed under the name Androctonus crassicauda. The record is from RNAcentral. Lineage: Eukaryota; Metazoa; Arthropoda; Arachnida; Scorpiones; Buthidae.